CGACCAGACUCCUACGGGAGGCAGCAGUGGGGAAUAUUGCACAAUGGGGGGAACCCUGAUGCAGCGACGCCGCGUGAGUGAAGAAGUAUUUCGGUAUGUAAAGCUCUAUCAGCAGGGAAGAAAAACCGACCAUAGGGUCGCUAGACGGUACCUGAUUAAGAAGCCCCGGCUAACUACGUGCCAGCAGCCGCGGUAAUACGUAGGGGGCAAGCGUUAUCCGGAUUUACUGGGGGUAAAGGGGGCGCAGACGGCGAUGCAGGCCAGGAGUGAAAGCCCGGGGCCCAACCCCGGGACUGCUCUUGGAACUGCGUGGCUGGAGUGCAGGAGGGGCAGGCGGAAUUCCUGGUGUAGCGGUGAAAUGCGUAGAUAUCAGGAGGAACACCGGUGGCGAAGGCGGCCUGCUGGACUGCAACUGACGUUGAGGCCCGAAAGCGUGGGGAGCAAACAGGAUUAGAUCCCCUUGUA
Molecule: ribosomal RNA, 465 nt
Filed under: uncultured bacterium
Lineage: Bacteria
Description: partial 16S ribosomal RNA
Rfam family: Bacterial small subunit ribosomal RNA
Source: RNAcentral